RNAcentral lists this ribosomal RNA (362 nucleotides) under uncultured bacterium. Its description in RNAcentral is "bacterial SSU rRNA". It matches the Rfam family "Bacterial small subunit ribosomal RNA", at positions 29 to 412 of the family's 1533-position model. The record is from RNAcentral.
AACGAACGCUGGCGGCACGCCUAACACAUGCAAGUCGAACGGGAUCCUAGCUUGCUAGGUGAGAGUGGCGGACGGGUGAGUAACACGUGGGAAUCUGCCUUCUGGUUCGGGAUAACCGCGGGAAACUGCGGCUAAUACCGAAUGCCCUCGCGAGAGGAAAGAUUUAUCGCCAGAAGAGGAGCCCGCGUCCGAUUAGGUAGUUGGUGGGGUAAAGGCCUACCAAGCCGACGAUCGGUAGCUGGUCUGAGAGGAUGAUCAGCCACACUGGGACUGAGAUACGGCCCAGACUCCUACGGGAGGCAGCAGUGGGAAUAUUGGACAAUGGGGCAACCCUGAUCCAGCAAUGCCGCGUGAGUGAUGAA